Molecule: small nuclear RNA, 107 nt
Filed under: Callithrix jacchus (white-tufted-ear marmoset)
Lineage: Eukaryota; Metazoa; Chordata; Mammalia; Primates; Cebidae
Source: RNAcentral
GUGCUCACUUCCGCAGCACAUACACUAAAAUUGGAACAAUACAGAGAAUAUUAGCAUGGCCCCUGUGCAAGGAUGACAUGCAAAUUCAUGAAACGUUCCAUAUUAUU